RNAcentral lists this long non-coding RNA (3842 nucleotides) under Triticum aestivum (bread wheat). RNAcentral's name for it is "long non-coding RNA (TAES_LNC015825)". Lineage: Eukaryota; Viridiplantae; Streptophyta; Magnoliopsida; Poales; Poaceae. The record is from RNAcentral.
UGCAAGGCAAAAGGGUGUUCCAUGAUAAAAACAACACAAAUAAUUACAAGCAUAUUACAUUUCAGGGGGACAAUAGCAUUGUUUUACAUGUAACCAUAACCAGUCAACGAACCAAGUACACGAUCACAUUAGAUCAUUCAAAAGCCAGAAUAUUUCCCCUAAGAAAAGCCAGAAUAUUAUGAUCAGGAACCUAACAUUAGAUGUUAUAAGAAAAUUCUGAAGGAACAGCUAGGUUAAGCUUUCUGCGAUGGACUUCUGGACGAACUGUGCAAUUGCUUUAACAGCUUCUAAUUCAACAUCAUGUUGACUUAUUCCAGCAGAUUUUUGGUAUUUUUGGCUGACUUUGAAAGAGUGGUCACCACCAUCAACAACAUGCAGUUCAUUCUUGCAGGUCAUCUUCUUCCGAGUUAACUCAAGCUUGUCCAAGGGGCAUAGGCCAUCUUUGUUGCCCUGUGAACACAUCCACCGCUAGUCAAGAUUAUAAAAAUACUAUUUACACCCUGUUUGGAACACGAAAAUUUUCAUAUUCUUGUCGGAAUUGAACUGUUUGCCAUAAAUUUCCUAUCAGACUAUGCGUUCCAAACAAUCCCUAAAAUUUUCAUUGCGCAUAUUUAUCAGAAAACAAAGAAAGAAACUAUUUUUCUUCAGUACCUGCACAAACAUUGUUGGAACCAUCAGCUUUAGUAGUAUCUCGUCCCUCAGUGCCCCUUUCGCUCCCUGUUGAAGAAAGCAAAGAUGCAAAACAAAAGGAACAUCUUCUUUAGUUUGUGAUUCUAUCUGAGAAAGUGAAUUGUCUGUAUACAAAAUGACAGUGAAUUAUCAUAUAAAAAUGUCACUGCAUAGUUGUAACAAAAAACGAGAAACAAUAGCAUGCAGAUCUGUAUACAACAUAAAUGGUUGAAUUCUACAACAAUUAAAUUGUGAUGGAGAUCCAAAUUCAUUUCGGUGUGUAUUAUAGUAUUGAACUUUGAAGAACACAGGCGCAACAAUUCAAUAAGGAGAUAGGCCAGGAAGCAACCCAAAUACUAAGUACACACAGUAAAGUGGGGAUACGGGAUACCUUCAAUGGAUAACCCAAGCAUCCUGGCCGGGGAACUCGAAUCUCUGGUGCAACUUCGUUAGGAGGAAGUGUUCCAUAUUUGGUAUCUUCCUUAAGGCUUCGUCGUUGAUGCUCCAUACUUAUCAACGACUCAUCAUAGUCGAUGCACUAGGUGUACCAAGUGUGAUUAAUAUUGAGCGUGCCACAUCACGAACAGGUUGCUCUUGGGAAGAUUCGAGUUCUUUAUGUUCCCACAACGCAGCAGUUCGUCGACAUCAUGACCAAAGGCUUGCCGACAUCCACUUUUAAGGAGUUCCGCUCCAAUCUUCGCAAGACACGACGCUUUGACUACAGAGGGGGUGCUGACAGAUGAUUGUAUUUAUUUCAUGUGUACACGUAUGUGUAUUCGUAUCGUUGUCCCGUUUGUAGCUCAAGUAUGUACUCUAUAAUUAGGGUUCUAGUCAUGAACGGACAUACCCCUGGACAUGUUAUAUACGAACACCCAUGAAGUGAAUACAGUCGUCUUGCACCAAACAAUUAUUUCUACAUUUACUAAAAAAGUAGUCUUCGCGCAUAAAAAAAUGAGACCAACCCGGACUAGAUUAGCCUGUUGGCAUUUUUUAUAGAAGAAAACUCCGUGAGCACCAAAUGCCCAUGGCUCUGUUGUUUACCUUCUUCAUGCCUUUGUCUAGCCAUGGUGCUUUCGUAGCAUCCUGGCCGGGGAACUUCUCUGGUGCAACUUCGUUAGGAGGAAGUACUCCAUAUUUGGUAUCUUCCUUAAGGCUUCGUCGUUUAUGCUCCAUACUUAUCAACGACUCAGCAUAGUUGGUGCACUAGGUGUACCAAGUGUGAUUGGUAUUGAGCGUGCCACAUCACGAACAGGUUGCUCUUGGGAAGAUUUGAGUUCUUUAUGUUCCCACAACGCAGCAGUUCGUCGACAUCAUGACCAAAGGCUUGCCGACAUCCACUUUUGAGGAGUUCCGGUCCAAUCUUCGCAAGACACGACGCUUUGACUACAGAGGGGGUGUUGACAGAUGAUUGUAUUUAUUUCGUGUGUACACGUAUGUGUAUUCGUAUAGUUGUCCCGUUUGUAGCUCAAGUAUGUACUCUAUAAUUAGGGUUCUAGUCGUGAACGGACAUACCCCCAGACAUGUUAUAUACAAACACCCAUGAAGUGAAUACAGUCGUAUUGUACCAAACAAUUAUUUCUACAGUUACUAAAAUGUAGUCUUCGCGCAUAAAAAAAAUGAGACCAACCCGGAUUAGACUAGCCUAUUGGCAUUUUUUUAUAUAGAAGAAAACUCCGUGAGCACCAAAUGCUCAAGCCAAAACUUGAACCCUGGUGGGCUGGCUGCAAAACUGAGCUAUGCUCAGUUCUCUGUCUUUACGCAUUAGGAGCUCUCCUCCAAUGUGUGGAGUGUUCAGCCCCGAAUCGGCAGCCAGCCGACAUCGUUGAUGCUCCAUACUUAUCAACGACUCAGCAUAGUCGAUGCACUAGGUGUACCAAGUGUGAUUGGUAUUGAGCGUGCCACAUCACAAACAGGUUGCUCUUGGGAAGAUUCGAGUUCUUUAUGUUCCCACAACACUGCAGUUCGUCGACAUUAUGACCAAAGGCUUGCCGACAUCCACUUUUGAGGAAACUUGCCACUGAUAAUAUUGAAAUAGUUACGAUUCAUAGAUAAGCAGCAAGAGCAAGUUUAUGUAUGAAUAUUCGGUGCGGUUUAUCUCAAUCAUGGAAAAAGCACGGUGCAAGGCAAAAGGGUGUUCCAUGAUAAAAACAACACAAAUAAUUACAAGCAUAUUACAUUUCAGGGGGACAAUAGCAUUGUUUUACAUGUAACCAUAACCAGUCAACGAACCAAGUACACGAUCACAUUAGAUCAUUCAAAAGCCAGAAUAUUUCCCCUAAGAAAAGCCAGAAUAUUAUGAUCAGGAACCUAACAUUAGAUGUUAUAAGAAAAUUCUGAAGGAACAGCUAGGUUAAGCUUUCUGCGAUGGACUUCUGGACGAACUGUGCAAUUGCUUUAACAGCUUCUAAUUCAACAUCAUGUUGACUUAUUCCAGCAGAUUUUUGGUAUUUUUGGCUGACUUUGAAAGAGUGGUCACCACCAUCAACAACAUGCAGUUCAUUCUUGCAGGUCAUCUUCUUCCGAGUUAACUCAAGCUUGUCCAAGGGGCAUAGGCCAUCUUUGUUGCCCUGUGAACACAUCCACCGCUAGUCAAGAUUAUAAAAAUACUAUUUACACCCUGUUUGGAACACGAAAAUUUUCAUAUUCUUGUCGGAAUUGAACUGUUUGCCAUAAAUUUCCUAUCAGACUAUGCGUUCCAAACAAUCCCUAAAAUUUUCAUUGCGCAUAUUUAUCAGAAAACAAAGAAAGAAACUAUUUUUCUUCAGUACCUGCACAAACAUUGUUGGAACCAUCAGCUUUAGUAGUAUCUCGUCCCUCAGUGCCCCUUUCGCUCCCUGUUGAAGAAAGCAAAGAUGCAAAACAAAAGGAACAUCUUCUUUAGUUUGUGAUUCUAUCUGAGAAAGUGAAUUGUCUGUAUACAAAAUGACAGUGAAUUAUCAUAUAAAAAUGUCACUGCAUAGUUGUAACAAAAAACGAGAAACAAUAGCAUGCAGAUCUGUAUACAACAUAAAUGGUUGAAUUCUACAACAAUUAAAUUGUGAUGGAGAUCCAAAUUCAUUUCGGUGUGUAUUAUAGUAUUGAACUUUGAAGAACACAGGCGCAACAAUUCAAUAAGGAGAUAGGCCAGGAAGCAACCCAAAUACUAAGUACACACAGUAAAGUGGGGAUACGGG